Small nucleolar RNA from Tachyglossus aculeatus (Australian echidna), 137 nucleotides. The record is from RefSeq and is a predicted model, not a curated record. NCBI's taxonomy places the organism in Eukaryota, Metazoa, Chordata, Mammalia, Monotremata, Tachyglossidae.
CACCUCUCAGGAUUGUGCCUGGAGGUUUCCAGUAUUCGACCAGUCUCGACUAUGGGAGGGAGAGUCAAGCAGAGGCAUAUCCAUUUCAUUCCUAGCUUGGCCGGUGGCUAGCGACUGGAAGGCAAUCUGCUACAAGU